RNAcentral lists this transfer RNA (101 nucleotides) under Trametes cinnabarina. RNAcentral describes it as "Pycnoporus cinnabarinus tRNA". It matches the Rfam family "tRNA". From Rfam's summary of the family: Transfer RNA (tRNA) molecules are approximately 80 nucleotides in length. Their secondary structure includes four short double-helical elements and three loops (D, anti-codon, and T loops). Further hydrogen bonds mediate the characteristic L-shaped molecular structure. tRNAs have two regions of fundamental functional importance: the anti-codon, which is responsible for specific mRNA codon recognition, and the 3' end, to which the tRNAs corresponding amino acid is attached (by aminoacyl-tRNA synthetases). tRNAs cope with the degeneracy of the genetic code in two manners: having more than one tRNA (with a specific anti-codon) for a particular amino acid; and 'wobble' base-pairing, i.e. permitting non-standard base-pairing at the 3rd anti-codon position. Lineage: Eukaryota; Fungi; Basidiomycota; Agaricomycetes; Polyporales; Polyporaceae. The record is from Rfam by way of RNAcentral.
GCCUGGAUGGCUCAGUUGGUUAGAGCGCAGGUCUCAUACUAUCGUAUGACCACUUCAAGUGGGUAAUCCUGAGGUCGUGAGUUCGAGCCUCACUCCGGGCA